UGUGAGGGUGAUCUGACUGCUACAUGCCACCCCACCGAUCGAUUGAUCGCCAGGGUUGAUUCAGCCGAUUUAACUGGCUAGGUGUGCGUCCCUUUCCUCUCUCACUUUCUCCAUGUGUGUCCCUCCCAAAGCUGUUGGCUCCAUUGAAGAAGAUAACCUUCCCCGAGCAGAGGAGGACUUGUCUUUGGUCCAGGGUCCCCUUGUAGUUGUGCCUCCAUGAUAGAACCUCCAAACAAGCUCUCAGGUAAAGGUGUAAAUAUGCAAUGAGAAGCAAAAUAUCUCUCCAGUUGUCUAUGAUUUAGGGCUUACCUUAAGGAAACCCUGGAAGU
Cricetulus griseus (Chinese hamster) is the source of this 329-nucleotide non-coding RNA. The record is from Rfam. NCBI's taxonomy places the organism in Eukaryota, Metazoa, Chordata, Mammalia, Rodentia, Cricetidae.